RNAcentral lists this long non-coding RNA (613 nucleotides) under Drosophila guanche. Lineage: Eukaryota; Metazoa; Arthropoda; Insecta; Diptera; Drosophilidae. The record is from RNAcentral.
GUAGAGAUUAUAUAACAAAAAUAAAUAAAAUAUGUUCGGUAUAUAAUGGUAUAUUUAAUUAAUUUUAUCUUCCGAUUAAAUUCAAUUUUUUAAAUUAUUUUCAAUAAUACAGGGUAUCCAAACUCCCAUACGUAUGUUUUUCAAAUAUCUCUCGAGGACGUUCUCUCUUCUCCGUAGGACAUUUUCUCUCCCUUUUGAAGGUAUAUUUCUCUCUCGCAACAUGGGAAUUUUCAUCGCCACAAUGAUUCUUUAUUGUAUUCCAUUCCUUAUGUUGAAUUUCAUUCCCACUAACGUGUUUCACCGUUGGCAACAUAAUUUGUAUGGGCCAGCAACAUGCUGAGAAAAGAAAGCAGCAUGAUGCGAAUAAUAAGCAGCGGUGUUCCCCAACAUUUUUCUUGGAAUAAGCAACAUCCCUUUGGAGGGAUGGAUGUCCUCGAGUUGAGAAAAUUAUGGAAAUCUUUUACUCUAAUCAAUGAAAAAACAAGUAAAUCUGCAUUGGAAAGAUAUCUUAACAAAUUUUGCAUAAUAUAGAAACAUUAAGCCAUUAUUAUGUUUAACAGCAGCUUUGAAAACGAAAUGGUAAUAUUAAAUAAUGGAAGCAGGGUACGCAAAG